This 1120-nucleotide unclassified non-coding RNA is filed under the name Hevea brasiliensis (rubber tree). The record is from RNAcentral. Lineage: Eukaryota; Viridiplantae; Streptophyta; Magnoliopsida; Malpighiales; Euphorbiaceae.
UUAAAUUUUUGAUGAUUAAUCAAUGUUUUGUUAGCUUUUUAUAGCCUCUAGCUCUUAGUGCACUUGUGUUGUGAUUCAAUAAAAUAUUAGAUUGGAUGAAAUUCAAGUAUUAAAUUCAUUCAGUUUGUGGAGAUUAAAGAACAGUGUAACUUUUUGAUUAAUUGUUGCCAAGAGCACUAGUGCAUGCACAACCAUAGUCGUUUAUGAAACCAAACCAUCUAAGGACCCUCAUAGAUCAAUGGCUGCUAUUGCACAAAUCUAUAACUUGAUGGAUUUGUUUAACUUUAGCCUCGGGAUGGAAUCUUCUUAACCCUGCUUUUGUCAAGAAGAUUAUUCCACCAAACCUUCAAGAAAAGGGCAUUCCUUUAUCCUUUAGCUUUGUAACCAGCUUUACUUUUUCUUUCUUUAUUUCUUUUUACAUAAAAGUGGAGAUUUUCCUUGCCAGACCUGAUUAAAAUGAUUCUACAAAUGACUUAAUUUGAGCAGAAUUAGAGGCUCAUUGUUUAGAUGGUAUGCUCGUGUAAAAAUGAUUCUGUAAAUAAUUAGAUAUUGCUUCCUUUAGAAAGGGGUAUCAUUUAACUUGGUGCCACAAUUGCAGACUUUCAUCAGGAACCAAAUUCUACAGACCAAAAAAUUAGCAGAGACAAAGGGAUGACAGGAAAGUUUGAAGGUGCAAAAGGGCUUCAGCGGCUCAUCUCAGUAAACAGGAGGGGUGGAGGUGGUGGUGGCCAUGGAGGAGGUGGUCAUGGAGGUGGACAUGCAAGCCAUUCCACUGGAAGCAGCGCACAUGGCGGAAAGAUUAAUGGUCAUGAGGGAUACAGGCAUGGUUCAACUGUCGUUCCUCUCUAUGCUGCUGGGGCUAUGAGCCAUCACCAAAAUAAUAAUCACCAGCGCCAUGGUUCUAAUGAAGGCUCCCAGAGCUACGCUGGUUCCAGUUAUUUGGUUCUCGCAGCCUUGGCCGUUAUCUUCUCAAUUAUUUUCCGUUAGCUUACAAUUGUAGUUUUUGUACAUCAUGUCUUUAAAUAUUACGAAAUGCAUAAAUAAUGCCUUGCUUGGCUUGCUCUACAGGCAUAUUACUCAUCUAGCAAAUCUAAUUUCAAGUUCUCACUCUCUGGUUUCC